RNAcentral lists this ribosomal RNA (359 nucleotides) under uncultured bacterium. Its description in RNAcentral is "partial 16S ribosomal RNA". It matches the Rfam family "Bacterial small subunit ribosomal RNA", at positions 338 to 694 of the family's 1533-position model. The record is from RNAcentral.
CCUACGGGAGGCAGCAGUGAGGAAUAUUGGUCAAUGGGCGCGAGCCUGAACCAGCCAAGUAGCGUGAAGGAUGACUGCCCUACGGGUUGUAAACUUCUUUUAUAAAGGAAUAAAGUGAGGCACGUGUGCGUUUUGGUGUGUACCUUAUGAAUAAGGAUCGGCUAACUCCGUGCCAGCAGCCGCGGUAAUACGGAGGAUGCGAGCGUUAUCCGGAUUUAUUGGGUUUAAAGGGAGCGUAGGCGGGUUGUUAAGUCAGUUGUGAAAUUUUGGGGCGUAACCGUAAAACUGCAGUUGAUACUGGUAGUCUUGAGUACAGGUGAGGUAGGCGGAAUUCGGGGUGUAGCGGUGAAAUGCUUAGA